GUCUACGGCCAUCCUACCCUGAACAAGCCUGAUCUGGGAAGCUAAGCAGGGUUGGGCCUGGUUAGUACUUAAAUGGGAGACCACCUAGGAAGACCAGGUGCUGUAGGCA
RNAcentral lists this ribosomal RNA (109 nucleotides) under Pteropus alecto (black flying fox). The record is from RNAcentral. RNAcentral also lists the same sequence under 1 other name. Lineage: Eukaryota; Metazoa; Chordata; Mammalia; Chiroptera; Pteropodidae.